GACGAGGGGCAAGUGUUCUUCGGAAUGAGUGGGCAUAAAGGGCACGUAGGCGGUGAAUCGGGUUGAAAGUGAAAGUCGCCAAAAAGUGGCGGAAUGCUCUCGAAACCAAUUCACUUGAGUGAGACAGAGGAGAGUGGAAUUUCGUGUGUAGGGGUGAAAUCCGUAAAUAUACGAAGGAACACCAAAAGCGAAGGCAGCUCUCUGGGUCCCUAUCGACGCUGGGGUGCGAAAGCAUGGGGAACGAACAGG
This 249-nucleotide ribosomal RNA is filed under the name uncultured bacterium. Its description in RNAcentral is "partial 16S ribosomal RNA". It matches the Rfam family "Bacterial small subunit ribosomal RNA", at positions 526 to 776 of the family's 1533-position model. The record is from RNAcentral.